UACGGAGGGUGCGAGCGUUGUCCGGAAUCAUUGGGCGUAAGGGGCGCGUAGGUGGCCCGGUCAGUCCGUGGUGAAAGCGCGGGGCUCAACCCUGCGUCGGCCAUGGAUACUGCCGCGGCUCGAGCACUGUAGAGGCAGGCGGAAUUCCGGGUGUAGCGGUGGAAUGCGUAGAUAUCCGAAAGAACACCGGAGGCGAAGGCGGCUUGCUGGGCAUGGUCUGACGCUGAGGCGCGAAAGCGUGGGGAGCGAACAGG
Molecule: ribosomal RNA, 254 nt
Filed under: uncultured bacterium
Lineage: Bacteria
Description: partial 16S ribosomal RNA
Rfam family: Bacterial small subunit ribosomal RNA
Source: RNAcentral